CUGACAAUGGAGAGGCUGGCGGCAUUGAGGGCGUCGAUCCCUGCCAUCCCAGUGGCCACCGAUUUUGAUAUUGUGGAGACUGUGAGGCAAGAAGAAGAGGAGGAUAACUUUUUAGAUACUUUUGCAGAGGAAGAGGAGGAAGAGGGCUGCACAUAUGAUUACUGCCACUGCCAAGCACCACUUUUGAGGCUGCAGAAAGCUGUGAAAGAGAGGGAUGAGGCCCUGACCAAGAAAAGUGAGACCAUCCAAUCCAUUAGAGAGGACAACCUGAAGCUGAUCUCUAAGCUGCAUAGAGUGAGGAAGAGGUACCAGCUACUGAAAAGGCAGAUGGGGAUUCUCAGGGUGAGUCCGGCAAAGGAGAGGUCGGCAAAGAGGUCCCUCAGCUUUCAGGCCGAGGCAGACACAGCCCAAGAGGAGCUGCAGCUGGACCAAGUGACAGGUUCAGGGGACCAGACAGAGGAGGCUACAGCGUCCGGAUCUGGCAGCAAACUUAUCUUCCCGGGCUCUGCCAUUAGUGUGUUUCUUGAGGGAUUCAGGAAGACCUGUGAGGGCCCCAAUCCAAAUUAUAAGCUAAGGGAAAAUUGUGCCGGAAAGAUCAAAAGGGUAACGCAAUUUUUGAACUACAUGGCGAAGGAUGAGACCUACCAAUCCAAUCUCAUUUUCCUGACUAACCAUGACAAAAUAAGGGGGUGAAAGACAGCAAGGAAGCCAAGGUGGUUUACAGAAAGACCCUGCUGGAGUGCCAGUCUCUUGCCAAGGCCAAGAUCCCAGAAGUGCUGAAAACCUUGGAAGAAACAAGGACACAGAAAAAUCAGUACCAGUUUAAUGGAGACCUGUGGGCCUACUUUCCCUCCAUAUAUGGCCAUAGACCGGGCCUGGAUAAGAACAUGUUGGUGGAGGAGGUGGAGGAGGCUAAAUGUGAC
RNA transcript from Coregonus clupeaformis (lake whitefish), 923 nucleotides. RefSeq lists it as uncharacterized. The record is from RefSeq and is a predicted model, not a curated record. NCBI's taxonomy places the organism in Eukaryota, Metazoa, Chordata, Actinopteri, Salmoniformes, Salmonidae. The transcript is spliced from 4 exons.